Molecule: long non-coding RNA, 2573 nt
Filed under: Bemisia tabaci
Lineage: Eukaryota; Metazoa; Arthropoda; Insecta; Hemiptera; Aleyrodidae
Description: lncRNA ENSSSA1UGG008274
Source: RNAcentral
GAAAUUCAAGGUCUGAAAUGUUCUUACCAUGGGAAAAUUGGACGUUGAUGCCAGCGAUCUUCCUUAUUUCCUCCCUGGCAAUCUCACCUGUCUUUUUACAAUCUAUAACUCUCUUCAAAGACAAGAACUUCCGUGGUCAUACGUGUGAUAUCCAGGUCAAAGGAUGCCAAAGGGUUUUGUCCUGAAGUGAAGAGCCAGGCUUCAUCUAUACAAGGAACUUCAAACUGCACUCAUUUCUACCGACGGGAAGGUUGUACAGCCUACAUGGGCACUUGGAACUCGAACAUGGGUGCAAUUAAGAACUUUAAGCACAAGGACGCCCAAGACGCAAUCGUGUCUGUCGGAGACUGCAGUAAGCCAAUUCCGGAAAAUACCGUUACUUUUUACGAGCAUAAGAAUUAUCACGGGAAGAGCUGCACCAUACAGGUGAGUGAGAGCUGCCAGCCUAUGUGUCCGGAAAUGGACAACCUAGCUUCGUCCGCAGAAGGAAACGCCGCCUGCAUCGAAACAUACGAUGAUAACAACUGCCACCAAUACGUGGGUGAUUUAAUCGAUUUCAAACGUGGGGGCUACAGAAACUUUAUAGAAUCCCCUUAUAAUUAUGGAUUUUUUCAAGACAAAAUCUCCUCUGUCAAAUUGUGCUCGAUGAACAGGACCGCUACAUUCUACGAAGACCUUUAUCAAGAGGGAAAAAGUUGCACCAUACCGUUAAAUAAAGGCUGCCAACCCUUGUGCUCCGAACUUAAGAACGAAUUUUAUUCUGCGAAUGGAACAAGUAGUUGCAUCAGGACAUGGUCAGAACUCAACUGCAAAGGAGAGCAGAUUGAAUACGAUCUACCGGUGAAUCGCCUUUAUCACUAUGCAGCCUCUGUCGAGGACUGUGUAGACACGGACCACGACAGAAUUCCAACGAGACCCCUGGAUCUCAGGCGACCUGAUAUCUGGCAUUGAGAUCAAGGAUUAGGUACGUUUCAUUUCUACAGCUUAUUUCGCCACGUGGCAAAAUGCAACAAAAAAUGUUGCAUCUUGCCACAGAUUCUAGGUGCGAUGUGGCUGAACGAAACAAAAAUUAGUGUGGCAAAAUGCUACAAAUUAUGUUGCAGUUGGCGACAUGACCAAAGGACAAAACCACGUAUCUGCAUUGCAGCGUUCCCAAACCUAAUCGGAACGAAUUUGACCUAACCUUACCUAACCUUACAUAAACUAACCUUGCCUAACAUAACCUAACUUAGCCUAACAUGACGGUGCUAGGUCAUUUUUCCUAAUUUUUUUUUUCCUACUGCAAGUUUUCCUAGUACUUUUUUCCUACUGGUUUUUCGUCCCAUUACAGUAAGUCCUACGAGUGAGAUCUCCCACUGGCUUUUUUCCUAAGGGUGUUUGUCCUAAUAAUGACAGAAACGUAAAGACGAGUAGAGGAGAGAGAAUUUUUUUUAAGAGAGUGGGUAAUCACUGGGUACAUCGACCUGGUGUAUCAAGUUUCUGCGAUUUUUUACGGCAAGUCGGUAGAUUUUCGGGAUGUAGAUUUCUUACUUUCAAUUCAUGAAUGAAUAAAGAAUGGACAUGGUUGAACUUCUUUGCAUGGAAAGACGUUUAAAAUAACAAAAUCAAGACAUAUUUAAUGCAACUGCAUUUAUAUCGAGUCAAUUUCUUUUCAAUAAUAUAUCGGGAUUUAUACUACCGGUGAUUUGGGUAUUUUAGCCCCAAAAUACCUUUAAAUCGACUUUAUCUUUCAGGAGUUCGACAGAAUUUUUCCUUUCUUCGCUUCAAUUAUUCCGUAGCACUUUUCUUCAAGAAUCUGAUAAGAUUUUGCUUGAGGCAGAUCAAAAAACUUAAACUCGUUCGAAUGGCUUAUCCACAAUACACGGUCUUGUCAAGGUGCGUCGUUGACCUCGCAGUGUUGAAUCGUGAAUUCUCUUGUUGUGCUGCUUGCCUAUUUUGAAAUCUCUGUAAAUGAAAACUAAAGGGGUUGAUAUGUGCGAGUUAAUGACGCGCCUUAUCAAUACAUUGUGUUGGAGUUCACUGCUUGUUUAAAAUUGAAAUUAGGACAAACACCCCUAGGAAAAAAGCCAGUAGGACAUCUCACUCAUAGGACUAACUGUGAUGGGACAAAAGACCUGUAGGAAAAAAGUACUAGGAAAACUUGCAGUAGGAAACAAAGUUUUAGGAAAAAUGACUUGCCACCAACAUGACCUAACCUAACCUUACCUUACCUAACAUGACCUAACCUAAGGAAGGAAACCUGGACGCAUGUGGUCAAUAAUUCCUUCGGAAACUUUCCUAUUAGUCGUUUUUCAUGUAUUUCAGCGUAAAGUAGAAUUAGUAUUGCAUUGGUCACUAGUGGGGAAUGGUAAUAUUAUUAUAAUAAAAAUUGGUUUCAAUACGAAUGGUUGUUUAUACUUUUUCAUCUAUAUUCCAAUUGAGCAAGCCCAUGUCCUUGGCUCCGGCACUGAACAAGUAUUGGUGACGAAAUCAUUGUGUAUGCUAAAGAAAACGUGUUUCAAUGGGAAUGAACCACUAGGCAAGGUACGAGCUGAAGUGUUCACAAAUAUUCCACCCAAAAUUUUACACAGAAC